GGGGUUGUGGCUCAGUGGUGGAGCACUCACCUAGCACGUGUGAGGCCCUGGGUUUGAUCCUCAGUACCACA
This 71-nucleotide transfer RNA is filed under the name Marmota monax (woodchuck). RNAcentral's name for it is "tRNA.Ala". It matches the Rfam family "tRNA". Rfam says of the family: Transfer RNA (tRNA) molecules are approximately 80 nucleotides in length. Their secondary structure includes four short double-helical elements and three loops (D, anti-codon, and T loops). The record is from RNAcentral. Lineage: Eukaryota; Metazoa; Chordata; Mammalia; Rodentia; Sciuridae.